RNAcentral lists this ribosomal RNA (323 nucleotides) under Cercozoa sp. RNAcentral's name for it is "SSU rRNA". The stretch from base 62 to 323 matches the Rfam family "Eukaryotic small subunit ribosomal RNA", at positions 694 to 955 of the family's 1831-position model. The record is from RNAcentral. Lineage: Eukaryota; Cercozoa.
GAUUUCUGGCUUGAAACAUUUUGCCGGCCACGGUUUCGUGUGUUAGUGCUUGAUGUUCUGGCCAUCCUUCCAAUCGCUAUGUGCUUUUCUUCAUUGAUUAGUACGUGGUAUUGGAUCUUUUACUUUGAAAAAAUUAGAGUGUUUCAAGCAGGCUUUAUGCUAUGAAUACAUUAGCAUGGAAUAAUAAUUUAGGACUUCGGUUCUAUUUUGUUGGUUUUGUCGGACUGAAGUAAUGAUUGAUAGGGAUAGUUGGGGGUGCUAGUAUUCAGCGGCCAGAGGUGAAAUUCUUGGAUUCGCGGAAGACUAACUUAUGCGAAAGCAUU